CAUUUAGUCCAGGGCCCCACACUGGUUAACCAGUUCUGUUACUGACAAAGCUGGUCCCCUAUAAGAUGGAGUCUUUCCCUGUUCAGUGUCAUGAAACCAAAUGUGGGAAACUGAAAGUGAUUUUCAAGCAGUACAGACUUAUUUAAUGGUCAUGGAAUUGAGAAGUGGGAGCAUGGCUCAUGAGUCAACUUCUUGACUAGCAAAUGGGGCAUAUUGUCCUGGAAUUAUGGCCAACAUUCUACAGGGCAACAGGUCAUUGAUUCUGAUCCUGCCAGCCUCCACCCAUCUUAUUGGUGGGCAUCAUCCCAGGGUGAACCUGUGAAAGAUAUUGCUUAGUACUGCUUGGAGCAAUAUUCUUUUAUUGAUGAAGCUGUCAGAAGAGAGGAAAAUCCCAGGGUGAAAAGAUUAAGGAAAAGAGAAAAUAAGAAUGGAAAAUGGAUGACAGAUGAGAAGAAAUGGCUUGAAAUACCUGUUGGAAAUUUCUAUCUGAUGACACAAACAGUCCAUUACCACGGCUUCAUAAAUUCACAUCAUAAUCUAUCUCUCUUCAGUUUUCCUCUUUCCCUGUUGCUUUAUAAUACAUAAAAUAAUCUAGAGAGAACUACAGAAAAUAAAAAUUAAAAUGCAAACUUAUUCCCAACAAGCUUUCUUUUUCUUGUAGAUGUUUGCAUCACUUUUUAAAAUAUUUCCCAUGGUUUUACUUCAUUCAUAUUAGAACCUAAGCUCUUCAAGAAGACAGUAACUUUUUAUUAUUUUACUAUCAUAGACAUCAAUUAAAUAUCAGCACAUAAGGCUACUGACAUUUAAUUAUCUAAGAUUUUUUUUUGAGAAAGUCUUUAUUUACCAAGAUUUUCAAUGACCUUCUGUGUCAAACUCUGGGCUCUUCUUCAUCAUUGAUACUUGCCUUUCUGAGAUACUCAAUAUCAUUAAACACCCUCUCCUUCAGGUAGCAGGCUGUUCCAUUUUACCAUUCUUCCUGCUUGUUCUUCACCUUUUAUUUUUUGUCUUUAAAAGAAAAGAUUAUGUUCUUUCUCCUUUAUAAAAAUAUGUUCCAGCCAUACUGAAUUACUUCCUGUGCUUUGUGCCCACUGUGCUACCUCAUGC
This 1104-nucleotide long non-coding RNA is filed under the name Homo sapiens (human). RNAcentral describes it as "HSALNT0328489". The record is from RNAcentral. Lineage: Eukaryota; Metazoa; Chordata; Mammalia; Primates; Hominidae.